Molecule: long non-coding RNA, 2106 nt
Filed under: Sinocyclocheilus anshuiensis
Lineage: Eukaryota; Metazoa; Chordata; Actinopteri; Cypriniformes; Cyprinidae
Description: lncRNA (ENSSANG00000008305.1)
Source: RNAcentral
CGACAUUUUUUGUUUAACGUAUUCAAGGCGAGCUGUCAUUUUCCCGGGAACCUCCGCAUCACGUGACUCACCCGGCGGCGCCUCUUGUGCAGCUCUUCUCUCCGAAUCAAAAUGGCGGCGCCGCAUGGCGUAAAACCGAAGGAUUUAAAGUGUGAUUUUACGGACCAUACAGCAGCACAGGCGCACCGGGACUCUCAGGUUGAAUUUGGAAAUCACGAUGUUCCUGUCUUCGAGCUGGAUGUCGGAAGGAUCUCAGAUGCUCUUCACGGAAGCCUGGAUCCGUCUAUUUUAUCCAUCUUUCAGGAGAAGAUGCUGACGGAUAGCGUUGAGAGCGAGGCGUCGCUGUUGUCCGCUCUGACCGAGAUGUUGGAUAGCGUGGACGUCGAGACGCUUUCGCCAUUCGACACGCUGCCGGACACGGAGAUUUUCGCAGCUCAGAAGGGUUCAGACCAUACGCUCAGGAAUCUGCUUCAUUUGAGCCAGACGUCACCGGAUCGGCCCAAAAUCUCUCAAUCACCAGCCGCAAAGUCAGGAAGAGAGGUCGUGAUGUCAGACAGACAGUUGAGACCCCGUCGCCAUUCAGUGACCCAGAUUACACAGCGAGACGAGCGUGAGAAGGAGCGCCGCUCUGUGAGAACCUUCCGGAUCGAAUCCGACCCCAUAUUCCCACAGGACGGACGUGAGUUGCUUGCAGAUUUAGUGAGACACAUGCAUCCGUACUGCGUCAGGACACACCUGGAGAAAGAGACGCGAGUGUCUGCGGAGGAGGAGGAGGAGUUUGUUGAUGUAGAAGGUUACGAGGAACACAUGCUGGACCAAUCAGGACAUGGACCAGACUUGAAGCCAAAAGCAGAACCAAAUGCACAGAAUACCGACAGCCAGGAAGAAAAAGUCACAUCUUUAGGGCGAAACGUUAAGAUGACGCCUAAACGCAGCGCUUUAGUCAAAACCAGCGGUGUGAAGAUGCGGGUGAAGAAAACGGUGACUUUUGCGUUUAAUCUAAUCUCCGUUCACGAGAUUCCACCUGAUGAUGAGGAGAUUUCUGAAUCCACAUCCUGUAAAACUGACAUCACUUCCUCUCAGAAGCCCAAAGCGCUCAGUCUAGACCAGUACCGUCUCCUCAGACAGAACAAACAACCUCCGGAGGAGAAGCGGAUGGACUUUCGAACCAAAUGGCCUUCGCUUCCCAGGGAGCUUCCGCCAAUCCUGCCCAAGCUGGAUCCGAACACACCUUCUGGUGAGAUAUUACCAGCUGUUAAAGUGAAAACCCAGCCGCAGGGAAUCACACGUCCCUCUCGGAAAGACGGCAGGAAGGCUGUAGAGCUUUGCAUCGACCCUCCAAACCCGGUUUUGGUGCCCUUGAAACCCACACGACGCAUAAACGCAACCCAGACCGCCUCAGAACCGCUCGGUUCAGACUCGAAACCAGACGUCUGUGUUUCUUGUGAAGAGGUUCGACUCUCUGAGGUUGUGCCAGUGACAUCUGCUUCCAAACCCAGAACUGGACAGCAGAACCAGACGGCGUGUGACGGAGUAAUUGGAAUUGAAGCCGCUGAUCUGACCAGCCUUUUGGAGCAGUUUGAGACUCAAGGACUAACUCCACCCGCCACACCUCCACAUCAGAUCUGGAGGCCCCUGGCGUCUGUCAAAGGGACGAAACAUGAAUCCAUCAAGCCGUCGCCAAGCAAAGCCAUUCAGAUAAUCGAACCCCGCCCACUGCCGCCCAGUAAAACUCACUCAAAACCCUCACUUCCCACCUUCACUCCUGCGAUGAAUCCCGCUCGAGCGUUCCUGGACCACGACUACUGCGGGAUUCAGGGCAGUGAGACAUGUUUCGCGCACACAAACUCGCUGUCUGGUUCGGUGCUGCUGUCUCCUGACAGCUCCCCCUGCAGGAUGGAGGCGUUCGAGGAGGCGGAGUCUCUGAGGGGGCGGGGCUUGCGCUUCUCCUCCCGCUCUCUGAGCCCAUUGGACCGCGGAAGGCUGAAGAGGCGGGCUUAUGAAUGCGGAUACCGGCGCUCCAGUUCCAGGUCAUGCUCCUCGUGUUCUUCAUCAUCUUCAUCAUCAUCUCGUUCCAUGUCUCGUUCGCCACCCAGAACAAGGUAA